CGAAGAAGAAGGGCCGAACCUUAGGGAUGGGCUCUAUUAGAGACUGUUCUGCCGCCUCGGCUUCCGGAUUCCGCACGCAGGAGGAUCCGAGUCAGCUUCGCCAGGAGCUUGCUACGGCCAAUGCUGAGAUCACCACUCUCAGGCAUGAGCAAGUGGCCCAGAAGCAGGAGCUCACCGAGAUACAUGAUCUCUUCGACAUCGUUGCGGAAGCGGUUCCGCAGUUGGCCACCGCAAUCCGAGCGAGGCAACAGCAAGCACGAAGAGUUUUUGAGACCGGUGGUACUUCCGGUACUGGACCAUCGGACCAGCAGACGCAGGACGGUCAGUCUUCGGCUCCGGUAGUGCAGACGGGAAACGACAGCCCAGCAGCGACGGGCGGCCAAGACGGAGAGCCUCCUCGUGACGUCGAUCUGAACCUCUACGAUUACGAAAUCACAUUGUAGAUUAGGUUUUUUUGUAAAAAACAAUUUGUAUUAAAUUUUUUUUUUAUUUAUAAAUUAUUUUUGAAUUUAAAUUUCAAUUUAAAUUGUUUUUUUCUAUUUUUAACUUUUUUAUUAUUUUCAAAAUUCAUUAAUUAAAUUAAAAUCGAAUUAAAUAAUUCAUUUAUAAAUCGACGUAAAUUCGUUGUAAAUUUACGUCGAUCUAACGUCGAAUAUUUAACGACGAAUUUACGUCGAAUAAGUUUACGUCGGAUUUACGACGAAAAUUUACGACAAUUUAACAUCGACAAUUAAAAAAUUAGUUUCCCUUAAUUGAAAUUGUUCGUCUCCUAAUCGUUGUUAAAUCGAUGUAAUUUUAGAUCGAUUUUACGUCGUUCUUAUGAUGGAGUUCUUUCGUUGUACUUCCGUUGGAAAUUUUACGUCGCAUUUACGACGAAUAGUUUCCGACGAUUUUACGACGAUUUUCCGGAGUUGGUAAUUUUACGACGAUUUUACGACGAUUUCGGUUUUACGACGAUCGUUUUACGACGAUUUUUUUCGUCGUUAAUUCGACGUAAAUGCUCUUUUACGUCGAUUUUACGUCGAUAUAUGCCGACGUAAAACCCGAUCUUUCUUGUAGUGCAUGUUUAUUCAAUAUCACAAAUUUUUUGAAGUAACUGAAUGUUGCAUCAGUUUUAAAAUCACAAAGUAUGUCAAAUCCAAAAAAAAAAAGAAAAAAAAAACAGAAGAAUGAGGUUAGUGUUAUUAACAAGAGAACUUAAAAAUGACUCUACAAUCUUUUAGACUUUUUGAAGAUUUGUUUUUAUGGAGUUGAUCAUUUUCUGUAAUAAAACACAAAAAACCAUAUUAGCAAACGAAAUUACAAACUACAUUAUUGCAAAAAUGUAAGUAACAAAUUUUCUAUAUAGGAGACUUCGUCUGCAGACUUCAUCUGUAGACUGGAGAUGAAGUCUAUUCUUCCAAGCUAACUAGCUAUUAAAUCAACAAAUUCGAUUCUAUAAUAAAUAUCGACUUAAAACAAAUGAAACUCAUUGAGUAAUUAGACCAGUUGGUAACACACAUUCUAAAACCUAAAAAUACAAAAAAUAAUUUACAUAUAUUCUGUAAUUUUGUUUUUAAAAUAAUGAUACCGAGCAGACUUCGUGUGCAGACUUCAUCCGUAGACUGCUGGAGAAGUCUACUUUAAUAAGCUAACUAGCUUAAAAAUCAAAACUUCUGAUUCAACAAUAAAUAUCGAAUGAAAUGAAAUGAAAUUCACUGGGUAGUUCAAUCACUUCAUAAAAAGUAUUUCUAAUCCAAAAAAUAAAAAAAAUACUUUAUAAAUUUUCCUAAAACGCGUUUUUCAAAAAAACUACAAUAAGUAGACUUCAAACGUAGACUGGCGAAGAAGUCUACUUUUUCAUAGUGAAGUCUACUAAAGAAAUCUACUAAAAAACAGGUUAUUUUUGCAAUUGAUCAUUUCGUUGACUUUUCCUUCAGUAGACUUCAGAAGUAGACUUCCGGCCAAAAAUGUUACUUUAGCAUUUGACCGAUGCAUUGACUAACAAAGUAGACUUCUAUUGUAGACUUCAUGUACGAGUAGACUUCUCUGACAGUCUACUUUUGAAGUCUACUUUUUUAAUAGAAGUCUACGGAAAAAUAGGUUAUUUUUGCAAUUGAAUUUUUUGAGUAGACUUCACUGUGAAGUCUACUUAAAAAAAGAUUCCUUCUAAGUUUGACCGAAAAAUAUAAGUAGACUUCCCAAAGAAGUCUACAGUUUUUAGACUUCUUUCUGAAGUCUACUGCAGCUUUCCGGAGUUUUAUGAAUUUUUUAAUUUUUAAAAAACUUUAGUCAAACACUAAAAUGACCUAUACGUUUUUGGUCAAACUACAAAAGUAACUCAAAAGUAGACUUCUUGUGCAGACGUAAACAGUAGACUUUAGAAAGAAGUCUACAUUAAAAAGUCAAAAUACGGUCAACUACAAAAAUAACCUCUUUUCUUUCGUAGACUUCUUAAGCCUUCCAAUGAAGUCUACUAUGUUUUUUUUGUUUUCAAAGGAUAUCGAGUAGACUUCUCGUGAGGUUUAAUCACUACAAGAAUGAGGGGCUUUUCUGUCGAAUUAUUUACGACGAUUUGUAGUCGUCGUAAAUUUACGACGACAUUACGUCGUAUUUACGACGAUCAAAAAUUUCGUCGUAAAUUCGACGUAAAAAAUAACCCUCGUAAAAUCGUCGUAAUGUGACGACGAUUUACGACGAAUGAAGAACGAAUUUUAUUUCGUCGUAAUAUUGUCGUAAUAUUUACAUCGAUAAUACGACUAAUUGUCCUCUAUCUUGUAAUUGACGUAAAAUCGAUGUAAAUGUGAUGUAAAUUUUAUUUCGACGUAAAUUUGAUGCAAAUAUGCAAUGGUAAUAUGUUGGUAACCAAACAAAAAAUUCUAUAUAUACCCUUUCUUCUCUCAUUAUUCCAUCAACCCAAAAAAACAUAUAAAGACACAAAUUUUUUGAGUCUUUGAAUGUUUAAGUAAAAUUUUUAGUAGUUGAAAUUUAUAUCAAAUUUCAAAAACAAAAAGUCAAAUAUUUGUUUUUGAAAUGUCUAUAUACGAUCUACGAAAGUGGAUGUAUACGCCCAAAAAUGGUGAUGGGUCGUUGACUGAAGACUUCAAAAACGGAUUGGAAAUAUUCAUGUACCAAGCUGGCCUUAUGCAAACUGUAAUUGAAAGCGGCAAAAUGUAUUGUCCUUGUGUGAAAUGCAAAAAUAAGAAACAUAUUCCUAUUGACACUGUCUGGCAGCAUUUAUUGAAUAGAGGGUUCAUGCCCCAAUACUUUAUUUGAUAUCAGCAUGGAGAGGGAUAUGGUCAAAGUAGUGGUCAGAUGGCUGCACGGAGUAGUAGUAAUCAUCAAGAACAUGUGGAUUUUGAAGCGUCAAAUGAUUAUCAAAGUAGUCAAGUUCAGGGUGAAGAUCAUGAUAGGAUGCAUGAAAUGGUUACUGAUGCAUUUCAUGAAACACAUGUUGAUACUGUUGAGGAGCCCAAUGCAGAUGCGAAACGCUUUUAUGAUAUGUUAAACGCAGCAAAACAGCCUCUGUACGAGGGAUGUAGGGAAUGUUUAUCAGAAUUAUCAUUGGCAGCUCGGAUGAUGACAAUAAAAACUGAUCACAAUCUAUCUGAAGUUUGCAUGAACGAUUGGGCAGAUAUUAUUAAAGAGUAUUUGCCAGAUGAUAAUUUGGCUGCUGAAACGUAUUAUGAAAUUCAGAAGCUGGUUUUUAGUCUUGGAUUGCCUUCUGAGAUGAUUGAUGUUUGUGUUGAUAAUUGUAUGCUUUUUUGGAGAGAUGAUGAGAAGCUUGAAGAAUGUCGUUUCUGCCAAAAGCCAAGAUAUAGACCGCAAAUUGCUGGGCGUAAGAAGAUUCCUUACCAACGAAUGUGGUAUCUUCCUAUCACUGAUAGGUUAAAAAGACUAUAUCAAUCUGAACGGACAGCUGCGUCGAUGAGAUGGCAUGCAGAACAUUCACAAACAGAUGGCAAAAUGACUCACCCGUCUGACGGGAAAUCUUGGAAACAUUUUAACACCGUACAUCCAGACUUUGCUAGGUCUAAGCGAAAUGUUUAUCUUGGUCUUUCCACUGACAGGUUUAGUCCAUUUGGUAUGUCUGGUAGGCAAUAUUCAUUAUGGCCUGUGAUUCUUACGCCAUAUAACCUUCCUCCAGAUAUGUGCAUGCAAAGAGAGUUUUUGUUUCUAAGUAUAUUAGUCCCUGGUCCAAAUCACCCAAAGCGGGCCCUUGAUGUGUUUUUGCAACCACUCAUACAUGAGUUAAACCAGUUGUGGCAUGUUGGAGUACGAACAUAUGACUGUUCGAGUGGUAAAAAUUUUACGAUGCGAGCGGUGCUUAUGUGGACAAUAAGCGAUUUCCCGACAUACGGAAUGCUAUCAGGUUGGACAACGCAUGGGAGGUUAUCAUGUCCUUAUUGUCUUAAUAGGACUGAUGCAUUUCAGCUUAAACAUGGUAGGAAAACCUGUUGGUUUGAUUGCCACCGUCGGUUUUUACCACCAAACCAUCAAUAUAGAAGAAAUAGGCGUUAGUUUAUAAAGAACAAAUUGGUUCGUCUCCCUCCACCAGUGUACCUAACUGGAGUAGAGCUUGAAGCGCAAAUAGAUCAUUGGGUUGGAUUUGAAACGGUCCCCCUUGGAGGAAAUUGGCAUACUCCUGCGAAUAUGCCUGAAGGAUAUGGGGUUCAUCAUAAUUGGCACAAGAAAAGUAUAUUUUGGGAUCUGCCUUACUGGAAAGAUCAUUUGCUUAGACAUAAUCUUGAUGUUAUGCACAUUGAGAAGAAUUUUUUCGAUAACAUCAUACAUACUGUUUUGAACGUCCAAGGAAAAACCAAAGACAGCGUUAAAUCACGGAUGGACUUACCCGAUAUAUGUAACAGAAUUGAGUUGCAUAUGGUGAGUAAUGGGAAAGCACCUGUUCCUGUAUUUCGGUUGGGUGCUGAACAAAAAACAGCAUUGUUUAAUUGGGUAUCAUCAGCCGUGAAAUUUCCUGAUGGAUAUGUAUCUAAUCUGGCUAAAUCUGUGGAUAAAGGACAAAAGUUUUCAGGGAUGAAAAGUCGUGAUUGUCAUGUGUUUAUGCAACAAUUACUUCCUUUUGCGUUUGCUGAACUCCUACCUGGACAUGUCCAUGAGGCACUAGGAGGCAUUGGAGCUUUCUUUCGUGAUCUAAGUACAAGGACAUUAUCAGAAGAUGUAGUUGCACAACUGUCUACAAAUAUUUCAAUACUGUUGUGCAAUUUAGAGAAAAUAUUACCACCUGCUUUCUUCGAUGUUAUGGAACAUUUACCUAUACACCUCCCUCAUGAAGCAGAGUUGGGAGGACCUGUUCAGUUUAGGUGGAUGUAUCCGUUUGAACGAUUUAUGAAGCAUUUAAAGGGUAAGGCCAAAAACUUAGCAAAAGUUGAAGGGUCUAUCGUGGCGGGAAGUUUGACAGAAGAAACUUCUCAUUUCACGUCUUAUUAUUUUGCUCCGAAGGUUCGUACACGCAAACGGGCUCCAAGACGUUACGAUGAUGGGGGUGUAGGACAAAGUUACGCAGUAGAAGGUGUGCCUGAUAUAUUCUCACCAAUUGGACGUCUAAGUGGGAAACUAAAAGAAACUUGUUGGUCAAACGAACAAGACUACCACAGCGCACAUACAUAUAUACUUCUGAAUUGCGAGGAAUUGGCACCUUACGAGAGGUACAUAUAUACAAAUAAGCAUGCAUGAUUAUAUUUUGAUUGCAUAGACGAAGUGUCCUUAACAAUGUUUUAAAAUUUCAGCACUUUCGUCAGUCAAGUCCGAGAAUGCAUUGACGGUGUUUCAGAAGAUGAAAUUAACAAGCGAAAAGACCAACAUUAUGCAUUGUGGUUAAAAGGUCAAGUCGAGCAUGAUGACAUGACAUAUGCAGUAUGGUUUCAUGAGUUGCUCAUUCAACUUCUUCCUCUCCCUGCUUCCUCCUUACUUCUUUGCUUCCCUGCAAACCCAAAAAAUCAGGUAAUUUUUUUUUACUUAAAAUCUAAUUUUUAUAUUUAGUUAGUUUAGAAAUAUAAACGGUUUAGGUCGGAAAUUAGUUUAGGCUCGGAAUUUGUUAGAUUUAGGAUCGGAAUUUGUUAGAUUAAGGAUUUAGGGUGUUUGUUAUAUUUAGGAUCAUAAUUUAAAAUUAAUUUGUAAUUUCAAAAAUAAAAAUUUUCCGGUUUUGCAGACGAUGACUCGACGGAGGACGCACUACAUCAACUUUAUGGCGGACGGACACUCUUCCCGGGCGUCUGCCUCGGGAAACACCGGGACCGAUGUCCCUUCAUCUUCCGGAGCCUCCCAGGUUCCGAAUACCAUAGCGGAGCAGUCUCCACCACUGCCUCCACCACCACCUCCACCACCACCUCCAUCGCCGGCUGCCGAACCGGUAGUCCACCCUCCUCAUCCGUAUGCCCAAUUUACGGUUGAGGACUUACUAGCCCUACCGGGACGGGGGGCUUUACGACGUCUGGUUCCCGGAAAAGCGGAACCAGGCUCUUAUUGGUAAGUAAAAUUUUUUGUUUUUUAUGUUUUUUUAAAUUAAUGCUUUAAUUUACUUAAAUAUUAAUGUAAUGUUUUUUUUUUGGUUUCAUAGGUUUAACUUGGAUAAUUGUGUCGGUCGGAGCGUUUCCGACACAAUUAAGAGUCAUUUCGUUGAGCCGCACUACAACUGGAGCAAGGUGUGGCAAGAGACGUUCGACACCUGGUACAAGUGCUUCGCGGUAAUGUUUUUUAAAUCUUAUUUAUAUCAUUUCAAAUUAUUUUAAAUUUAAUUAAUCUUAAUUUUAUAUUGUUUAUAUAAUUUUUUGUUUUCUUUUGCAGCAACGGUGGAACUGGGACAUCGGGAUCAACGAGACGGUCCGCAAAGCUUUCCGGCUGAAGGCGCAGAAACGCCUAGUCAACACCAUUUCCGAUUGGAAGCGGAAGUGGGAGACCGAUGGAGACGACGCAAAGCCGAGCUCCAUGUCCACUUUCUGUUGGAACGGGUUGAAGGCGUAUUGGCUGGACCCGCAUGCCCAAACCACUGCGGCUAAGUGUUCGGCCGUCCGAAACCGGGUCGGUCCUGACGGUCAGAAGUUAGUGACCCCGCACACUUCUGGCCAAAUAUCUUUUGCGGGAAGACGUCUCAUGAUGGUAAGUAAUUAAAUAUAAAUUAUUUCAUUAUUAUUUCAUUUUUAAUUAUUGCUAUAAUUUAUUAAAUAUUUUUGACUAAUGUUUAUUAAUUGGUAGGCCGAGGAGAACGGAGAAGAACUUCCUCCAAUGACGAACCUCUUCGAGACCACUCACCGGAAGAGGGACGGGAGCUUUGUCGACGCUCGGUCAGAGGAGAUCUACAAUGCUGCUAUUCAGCGGAUCGCCGAGCGAGAGAUCCAGGCCACACCUGACGGUACUAUCCAAGUAUCGUUGACCGUCGCUGAGCAAGACCAGAUUUUCGAGGAGGUAUUAUCUAUUUCAAAUUUUUUAAAAUUUAUUAUAUUUAUUAAUUAACGUUUUUAUUUCUAUUUGUAGGUUGCUCCGAAGAAGAAGGGCCGAACCUUAGGGAUGGGCUCUAUUAGAGACUGUCCUGCCGCCUCGGCUUCCGGAUUUCGCACGCAGGAGGAUCCGAGUCAUCUUCGCCAGGAGCUUGCUACGGCCAAUGCUGAGAUCACCACUCUCAGGCAUGAGCAAGUGGCCCAGAAGCAGGAGCUCACCGAGAUGCACGGUCUCUUCGACAUCAUUGCGGAAGCGGUUCCGCAGUUGGCC
This 7707-nucleotide long non-coding RNA is filed under the name Eutrema salsugineum. RNAcentral describes it as "long non-coding RNA (ESAL_LNC001564)". Lineage: Eukaryota; Viridiplantae; Streptophyta; Magnoliopsida; Brassicales; Brassicaceae. The record is from RNAcentral.